Molecule: ribosomal RNA, 201 nt
Filed under: uncultured bacterium
Lineage: Bacteria
Description: partial 16S ribosomal RNA
Rfam family: Bacterial small subunit ribosomal RNA
Source: RNAcentral
ACGCUCGACACCUACGGAGGCAGCAGUUAGGAAUAUUGGGCAAUGGAGGAAACUCUGACCCAGCAACGCCGCGUGAAGGAAGAAGGUUUUCGGAUUGUAAACUUCUGAUCUAGGGGAAGAAGGAAGUGACGGUACCCUAGGAGAAAGCCACGGCUAACUACGUGUCAGCAGCCGCGGUAAUCUGAGCGGGCUGGCAAGGCC